This 67-nucleotide transfer RNA is filed under the name Helota yehi. RNAcentral describes it as "tRNA-Trp". Lineage: Eukaryota; Metazoa; Arthropoda; Insecta; Coleoptera; Helotidae. The record is from RNAcentral.
AAGGAUUUAAGUUAAAAACUAAACUAGCAACCUUCAAAGUUGUAAAUAGAGGGCUCUCUAAGCCUUG